GGCAGCGAAACCGUAAGGUCAAGCGAAUCUCAAAAAGCCGGUCCCAGUUCGGAUUGUGGGCUGCAACCCGCCCACAUGAAGUUGGAGUUGCUAGUAAUCGCGAAUCAGCAUGUCGCGGUGAAUGCGUUCCCGGGCCUUGUACACACCGCCCGUCACACCACGGAAGUUGGGGGCGCCCGAAGCCAGUGGCCUAACCGCAAGGAGGGAGCUGUCGAAGGCGAAACCAAUGACUGGGGUGAAGUCGUAACAAGGUAUC
RNAcentral lists this ribosomal RNA (256 nucleotides) under uncultured bacterium. RNAcentral describes it as "partial 16S ribosomal RNA". It matches the Rfam family "Bacterial small subunit ribosomal RNA", at positions 1245 to 1500 of the family's 1533-position model. The record is from RNAcentral.